GGGCCCGUGAAAAGGCAAGCAUGAUGUCCGUACCGAGAUCCGACACAGGUGCUCUGCCAGCGCAAGGCAAGGCCUGUCGGGAGAACCGACGUUAGGGAAUUCGGCAAGUUAGUCCCGUACCUUCGGAAGAAGGGAUGCCUGCUCUCGACGGAGCAGGUCGCAGUGACUCGGGCGCUCCGACUGUCUAGUAACAACACAGGUGACCGCAAAUCCGCAAGGACUCGUACGGUCACUGAAUCCUGCCCAGUGCGGGUAUCUGAACACCUCGUACAAGAGGACGAAGGACCCGUCAACGGCGGGGGUAACUAUGACCCUCUUAAGGUAGCGUAGUACCUUGCCGCUUCAGUAGCGGCUUGCAUGAAUGGAUAAACGAGAGCGCCACUGUCCCAACGUUGGACCCGGUGAACUGUACGUUCCAGUGCGGAGUCUGGAGACCCCCAAGGGGAAGCGAAGACCCUAUAGAGCUUUACUGCAGGCUGUCGCUGAGACGUGGUCGCCGAUGUGCAGCAUAGGUAGGAGUC
This 521-nucleotide ribosomal RNA is filed under the name Halorubrum distributum JCM 9100. RNAcentral's name for it is "bacterial LSU rRNA". It matches the Rfam family "Archaeal large subunit ribosomal RNA", at positions 1699 to 2232 of the family's 2987-position model. Lineage: Archaea; Methanobacteriati; Methanobacteriota; Halobacteria; Halobacteriales; Haloferacaceae. The record is from RNAcentral.